GCUCAGGACGAACGCUGGCUGCGUGCUUAACACAUGCAAGUCGAACGCUGAAGCCUACAGCUUGCUGUGGGUGGAUGAGUGGCGAACGGGUGAGUAACACGUGAGUAACCUGCCCCCGAUUUCGGGAUAAGCCCGGGAAACUGGGUCUAAUACCGGAUAUGACCAGAGGACGCAUGUUCUCUGGUGGAAAGUUUUUCGAUCGGGGAUGGGCUCGCGGCCUAUCAGCUUGUUGGUGGGGUAAUGGCCUACCAAGGCGACGACGGGUAGCCGGCCUGAGAGGGCGACCGGCCACACUGGGACUGAGACACGGCCCAGACUCCUACGGGAGGCAGCAGUGGGGAAUAUUGCACAAUGGGGGAAACCCUGAUGCAGCGACGCAGCGUGCGGGAUGACGGCCUUCGGGUUGUAAACCGCUUUCAGCAGGGAAGAAGCGAAAGUGACGGUACCUGCAGAAGAAGUACCGGCUAACUACGUGCCAGCAGCCGCGGUAAUACGUAGGGUACGAGCGUUGUCCGGAAUUAUUGGGCGUAAAGAGCUCGUAGGUGGUUGGUCACGUCUGCUGUGGAAACGCAACGCUUAACGUUGCGCGGGCAGUGGGUACGGGCUGACUAGAGUGCAGUAGGGGAGUCUGGAAUUCCUGGUGUAGCGGUGAAAUGCGCAGAUAUCAGGAGGAACACCGGUGGCGAAGGCGGGACUCUGGGCUGUAACUGACACUGAGGAGCGAAAGCAUGGGGAGCGAACAGGAUUAGAUACCCUGGUAGUCCAUGCCGUAAACGUUGGGCACUAGGUGUGGGGGACAUUCCACGUUCUCCGCGCCGUAGCUAACGCAUUAAGUGCCCCGC
This 842-nucleotide ribosomal RNA is filed under the name Brevibacterium aureum. RNAcentral's name for it is "bacterial SSU rRNA". It matches the Rfam family "Bacterial small subunit ribosomal RNA", at positions 22 to 872 of the family's 1533-position model. The record is from RNAcentral. Lineage: Bacteria; Bacillati; Actinomycetota; Actinomycetes; Micrococcales; Brevibacteriaceae.